UACAGAGGUCUCAAGCGUUGUUCGGAUUCAUUGGGCGUACAGGGUGCGUAGGCGGCGGGGUAAGUCAGGUGUGAAAUCUCGGGGCUCAACCCCGAAACUGCACUUGAUACUGCCUCGCUUGAGUACUGGAGAGGAGACUGGAAUUUACGGUGUAGCAGUGAAAUGCGUAGAUAUCGUAAGGAAGACCAGUGGCGAAGGCGAGUCUCUGGACAGUUACUGACGCUGAGGCACGAAGGCCAGGGGAGCAAACGGG
Molecule: ribosomal RNA, 253 nt
Filed under: uncultured bacterium
Lineage: Bacteria
Description: partial 16S ribosomal RNA
Rfam family: Bacterial small subunit ribosomal RNA
Source: RNAcentral